Long non-coding RNA from Cornus florida, 522 nucleotides. RefSeq lists it as uncharacterized. NCBI's taxonomy places the organism in Eukaryota, Viridiplantae, Streptophyta, Magnoliopsida, Cornales, Cornaceae. The transcript is spliced from 3 exons. The record is from RefSeq and is a predicted model, not a curated record.
CUCCAUCUCUAUUCUCGUUCUUGACUCUGAACUUGCCCUCUCUCUCUCUCUCUGCGCAACUGCAAACUACAAAAUCUACAACAAUCAGAAGCUCUUUCUGCAACUGCUAACUUCUAAAAACAUGGUCGGAAUUAUUAAAUUCCUUCUGCACCAGUGGGAAGCUCGAGCUGGAACUCAUGUACAAAAUUCAGGUCCAAUUCUACGAGGAUGCUAAGCUAAUGAAGUUGUUCCCUGGAGUUGUGAGAUCGCUCUAUGACCAGGAUGUGCUUUCGGAAGAUACCAUUCUUCACUGGUUCCGUAAAGGAACUAAUACUAAGGGCAGGCAAACCUUUGUGAAGGCUUUGGAGCCCUUUGUAAAAUGGCUGGAGGAGGCAGAGGAAGAGGAAUAAGUGUGUGGGUGGUGAUACUGUUGUAAUGGACCAUUUUCUAAAUUUUUAAACGACCGUGUUCUAUUUUUUCGUGUGCUUAUGGCGAAUGUUUAAUGGUUUAUUACUUUCAAUAAUGUAGCCACUUUCUACUCUC